UACGUAGGGGGCGAGCGUUGUCCGGAAUUACUGGGCGUAAAGAGAGCGUAGGCGGCACUACAAGUCUCAUGUGAAAUACCCGGGCUUAACUUGGGGGUUGCAUGGGAAACUGUAGAGCUUGAGUACAGGAGAGGCAAGCGGAAUUCCUAGUGUAGCGGUGAAAUGCAUAGAUAUUAGGAGGAACACCAGUGGCGAAGGCGGCUUGCUGGACUGAGACUGACGCUGAGGCUCGAAAGCGUGGGGAGCAAACAGG
Molecule: ribosomal RNA, 253 nt
Filed under: uncultured bacterium
Lineage: Bacteria
Description: partial 16S ribosomal RNA
Rfam family: Bacterial small subunit ribosomal RNA
Source: RNAcentral